ACAUGACAUUUGCAUCAUCACCAUCAUCAUUUGCAUUUGCAUCCUUAACAUGACAUCUGCAUCAUCACAGCACAUCAUAUCAGAAUUGUCACCAUACACAUAACAACACAUCAUCUCAUAUACCGAAAUCAUCACCAUAUGAAACAACACAUAUCAAAAGUCACCAUAAAACGCAUAACAACACAUCAUCUCAUAUCAAAAUCAUCUCCACAUAUGUAACAACACAUCAAAUCAUAUCAAAAGCAUCACACAACACAUCAUCUCAUAAUCAAAAUCGUCACCAUAUGAAAAUGUCCACCAUAUAUACGUAACAACACAUCAAAUCAUAUCAAAAUCAUCACAAAACUCGUAACAACACAACAUCUCAUAUAGCAAAACCAUCACCAUAUGUGUGACAACACAUCACAUCAUAUCAAAAUCAUUGUCAUACGCAUCAUCGUUUGCGUAUUCAUCAUAACGUAAUUGCAUAUUCCUCAUACUAUCAUCGCAUCAUAACAUCAUCAUUUGCAUAUGCAUCAUAACAUCGUCAUUUCAUAUUCAUCAUAACAUAAUUGCAUAUGCAUCAUAAUAUCAUCGCAUCAUAUUUGCAUAUGCAUCAACAUGUAACAUCAAAGGACAAGAUAUAACAUCAUUUGCACAUGCAUCAUAAUAUAUAAUUUAUCCACCAUUCUUCCUCUCGCUGCACCGUCUCAAACGACGAGAGACCAUCUUCAGAAGAGCCUUUGGGUCGUUGUGCCGUAGACACCAUGCCAUACCUAUAUCGUUUGGAAUUUUUUGGGUAUUUUACAUACUGACCUCUAGUUGAUUAUGUGGCCUAUAUCUUGAUUCUUGUGUGAUGGAGAUAAAUCUUAGGAAAGGGUGGAUAAAUUGAUUUUGUUCUUGAAAUGGCUUCUGUCCGAUUUUCUUCGUCAGAUUAUAACUGGCUAGUCAGCCGAGUAGACAAGUGUUACCAUAAGACAGUUGUGUUCGAUAUCUUUGCUAUGCAAAGAUUUCUUCAUGUAGCUUUUCCAUCGGGAGAAGGAUAAUAGUGGCAACCCAUGAAUGCUUAGAUUUAGUUGAAGCACAGGGUGGAGCUAUUUGACUAACUCAAAGCAGAAAACGCCUCACCAAAGUGUCUUGAUGAUCAAAUUCGUACUCGAAAUAUGGCUGGUAGGACCAGAAACCUCAGGCCUUGACUUUGAUCAUAUGAGGAAAACAAUUUGGAAUGGCCCGUUUGGAACUUUUUCUACUACGUCUACUGUGUUUAUGCAUUGUUCUCUCUUCAACUCCCAGGAUCACAAAAGGCUUAUAUAUAUCUUCAAGUAUGAUCAACGCAUAAAUCUCAGGCAGAAACUAGCGAACUGGUAUGUUCCUCAUAGAAUGGUAAACCGGUGACGAGAUAUGUUGAUUGCAAGCACAGGAAUUCAGCCAAAAG
Molecule: long non-coding RNA, 1414 nt
Organism: Tarenaya hassleriana
Lineage: Eukaryota; Viridiplantae; Streptophyta; Magnoliopsida; Brassicales; Cleomaceae
Exons: 6
Source: RefSeq, a predicted model, not a curated record